Molecule: ribosomal RNA, 1354 nt
Filed under: Lutzomyia longipalpis
Lineage: Eukaryota; Metazoa; Arthropoda; Insecta; Diptera; Psychodidae
Description: eukaryotic LSU rRNA
Rfam family: Eukaryotic large subunit ribosomal RNA (bases 1-1036)
Source: RNAcentral
AGAUUAAGAGUCGAUAGAAUAAUGUAGGUAAGGGAAGUCGGCAAAUUAGAUCCGUAACUUCGGGAUAAGGAUUGGCUCUGAAGAUUUACAUGUGUCGGGACUGUUUGGGAUGUAUAUUAACAGUAUUGCUAAAGUAUCUGACUAAUUACCUUUACGGGUAGUGAAAGGAUAUGAUUACGCGAUACAAUAAUAUGGAACUCUCAAGCUGUUACAAUCUUUACAGAUUAACAACGACCAUCAACAAACAAUCAAUUCAGAACUGGCACGGACAAGGGGAAUCCGACUGUCUAAUUAAAACAAAGCAUUGUGAUGGCUCUAACGGCUGUUGACACAAUGUGAUUUCUGCCCAGUGCUCUGAAUGUCAAUGUGAAGAAAUUCAAGAAAGCGCGGGUAAACGGCGGGAGUAACUAUGACUCUCUUCUAAUUAGUGACGCGCAUGAAUGGAUUAACGAGAUUCCUACUGUCCCUGUCUACUAUCUAGCGAAACCACAGCCAAAGGAACGGGCUUGGAAUCAUUAGAGGGGAAAGAAGACCCUGUUGAGCUUGACUCUACUUUGGCACUGUAAGAAGACAUAAGAGGUGUAGCAUAAGUGGAACACAUUCAGCAAUGUGUAUCAACAAUGAAAAACCACUACUUUUAUCCUUUUCCUACUUACCUGAUUGAAUGAAGAAUGCAUUUUCAUUUAUACCAUAUUUACUAUGAACCAUUGCCACUUUGAGAUGUUAUAAAAGGAGUUAAGACACGAUCCAAGUCAGGGACACUGCCAGGUGGGGAGUUUGACUGGAACGGUACAUCUCUAAAACAAUAACGGAGGUGUCCCAAGGCCAGAUCAGUGCGGACAGAAAACACACGUAGAGCAAAAGAGCGAAUGCUGGCUUGAUCUCGAUGUUCAGCAAACAUAGAGGCGGCGAAAGCUCGAUCGAUAGAUUCUUUUGGCAUUAGUGAGUUUUUAGCAAGAGGUGUCAGAUAAAUUACUACAUUGCUAACUAACUUGCUUCCAUUCUUCUUUUUUUUUUUAAUAUUUAUCAAACAUGUACAAUUAUGAAUUUAAAUUACAAAAUUAAAUACAUUACAAUAUUUCACACACAACUUCGAACUAAAAAUUCGGGCGAUAUUAAAAAAAAGCCUAGGGGAGAGCGGGGUUAAAAAAGUCAUUUAAGGGUUUAGAAAAAGCUCAAAAUAUCAUAUUUCCCAAACAGAUAAAGCGAAAUGUAUAGUUCAAUUCUUUAGGAUAUUUCUUACCCUACAACUCUUUCUAAGAUCAUUUUGUUCUAUCUAGAUAGGAAAUAUGAUAUUUUAAGCUUUUUCCAAACCCUUAAGUGACUUUUUUAGCCCCGCUCUCCCCUACUAAAU